Non-coding RNA from Dermacentor albipictus, 1642 nucleotides. The record is from RefSeq and is a predicted model, not a curated record. NCBI's taxonomy places the organism in Eukaryota, Metazoa, Arthropoda, Arachnida, Ixodida, Ixodidae.
GGUGACUCGAGCGUCCGCUACCGGCCAGCCAUUUCUCACGAACGGUCGUGAGCCGUUCAGCGUUUAUUCUUCGUUGCACUAUAUGUGUUGGACUCGUGGACAGUAGAGUGGAGAACGGACUCGUUGAGGCAGUUUCCUCUUGACAUUCUUUGUUGCUGCGUUGCUCACCGUACAGGCCGCAUACUUGCUGGUGAGCUUCCUAGUUCUUUUCGUCCACUGUGAAUCAAUGUUAUUCCUGUAUAAAUACCUGAACGCUCUCCUAGCCCAUUUACUUUCUUCCAUAUUCCUCACUCGUUCUUAAUAAUUAAUUUUACUAUAAGCUUCCCUCACUUCAAAACUUGUCCAGCCCAUAUCACCGUGCACAGCUUAAUUUGUAGUCUUUCCAUGAGAGCCCUAUGCGAGGCGUCCCACAGAUUUUUCCUGGGACCCCAAGAACGACUGCAUCAUGCGCCACUUCUGCAGCCGCUUCUGCAACCUGCAGCUCUUCAAAAAGCUUGCGGCGGUGGGCAUAGAAGCAGCAGCGACAUCAGAGCCAGGAACAAGGUAGAAGUGGAAGACAGUACUGGCCGUGGACAAAUUCUCCUGGGCUCAGGCCCAAGUUAUCUCCACAUUGAUGCCCAAUGGUACACCCCAUCCAGCUUCAGAAUCAAUCCACAAGGCCUCCAGCGCAAAGCUGUUGGAGCAUCUGCUAGGGACAUGGCCACGGACGACACUCGAGCACGGUGUAUUGCGAAUCGCCAACAGCAGCAGCUGCUGCUACAUUCGAGCUGCAACCCCCGAGCGCUGCACCCAAGGCAGUUCCCCCGUGCUGAUGCCACUGUUGCUAUUGGCUGGAAGCUCAAUCAAGAAAGGUGUUUGGAUUAGUGCUCUUCUUCUUACUAUUGCUGUGUAUAUGUAUUGACACAUUUUAUUAAACAGGCUGAAGGAAGUCAAAAUCUGCAUUUGGAUUUCGAUAAAAAUUGUGUACUUACGGAAGUACAACUGCUAUGCCAUCCCCGGCUGCCGUAUGCCAACGCUCAGCCACACCCGUACAUGCGGGAAUGAAAAUUUGGCCACACUGCUUAUCAGUGUCGUAGCCAUCGGCUCUCGCUAAUUUCGAUUAGUUUUGGACACUCAACUAGCCUCAAACCACACAAAACUUAAGGUCAGAGCAUACAUACGCUUGCCAGCGCACAAUCACUUCUGGCCGCUCCUUGCUAGAUGCCUUUGCAGACUUCAUAUCGUAUUGAGCUAUUGAUGGCACUUCAAAAUGUGCAAUUUGGGUGAGGCUACUAUCCGUUGUUCGAGCUGGUGCAGGAAAAAGCCGGUACAUACCAUGUAGCACGACCAGAUUGGAGCACAUGAGCGCAAACACACACUCCAACCCUGUCGUGCAGAUAAUAAACAUUGCGCUAUACUAGCUGUACGCACUGUAGUUGCAUGUAGCUGCAUCUGCAGCAAGGCAUACGUACCGCGGCCGCUGCAGCCCGCUCGCUGAGAUUGGUACGACUCGCUGAGGACAACCGUGUAUAGUGAAAUUUCGAUAUAACAAACUUCAUGGUACGCCUGCAAAUUGUUCGUUAUUCUGAAAGGUUAUUAUAGUGAAAGCCCCAAAAUUAAUAAUUUCGCCCAUCGACCCCUCAGUUCUCACCAUAUGAGCUAU